ACGUACAGUGUAUCAAUCGUUCAUAUAUUCGUUGAUUCCCACUUUCCUUCUUCGGAUCAAGCGCUUCCGCUCUUUAACCCUAAUCCUGAUAAUUUAUUGUCGAAAUCCAUCUGAGGAUUUCUUCCACAAGGUAUUCCCUUCGAUCCACUCCUGGUUUCGCGGAUCCUGCACCCCCGCACCCCCCCCAUCCGAUCUCUUGCGCUUCUCGGCCUCGCCGUUCCUUCUCGAUUCCGCUACAGAAGAUUGAAGAGGACAAAUGCCAGAAGAGGAUUUGGUCGAGCUCAAGUUCCGGCUGUGUGAUGGAUCCGACAUCGGUCCGAUAUGCUACACUUCUUCCUCCACCGUUGCCAUGCUCAAGGAAAGGAUUAUCUCGGAAUGGCCGCGAG
Non-coding RNA from Musa acuminata subsp. malaccensis (wild Malaysian banana), 386 nucleotides. The record is from RefSeq and is a predicted model, not a curated record. NCBI's taxonomy places the organism in Eukaryota, Viridiplantae, Streptophyta, Magnoliopsida, Zingiberales, Musaceae.